This is a long non-coding RNA of Bombus pascuorum, 1089 nucleotides long. RefSeq lists it as uncharacterized. NCBI's taxonomy places the organism in Eukaryota, Metazoa, Arthropoda, Insecta, Hymenoptera, Apidae. The record is from RefSeq and is a predicted model, not a curated record. The transcript has 2 exons.
ACUUCUUUACAGCGUUGUAGGUCACGUGCAAUGUAUAAUUACCGUUGCAAAAUGCAUUUUUUUAUAUCGUUAAUAAUAUCCUUCGUAGAUGUGCAGUAGCGUAGCACAAAUUCUUUCAAAUUUUACUUUCAUAAUCUGUCAUAGUAAAUAAUAUUCUAAACUAUUAUAAGAUCGUGCCAAAAAAUAAGAUAAAUUCCUGAAAUACCUAAACAUUGUAUAAUCGUAUGAUAUUGUACAAAAAAAGUAAUAUAUUUUUAUUUAAAUAGGGAUAUUAUUCAUUUUGCUUAGUUAAUAAAUGAAAGGAAAAAAUUGAAGAAAGAAAGGAAAUGAUGACGUUGUAUAUAUGUCAGUGGAACAUCACGUGGAUGCGUGAAAUCGCAAGUCAAUGACCUGAUCAAUGACCUGUUGACUCGGACAGUAUAUAUAUGUAUAUGCAUAAACGUACUCGAAAAAAGUGAAAUAACAAAUAUAGGAAGUUAUGAAUCACUUUUACUAUUAGAAGAUUGAUACAUUAAGGCAGUUUGAGAGGAAAAUCGUUCACCCAGGAAAUAGAAAUAACAUUAUCAUUGUCUAAAAGAUCUUCUUAAAGUUAAAUAUUUUAAACUUGAAAAUGUUUAAAAUUUUAUUUCCUACUACAUUCAGUUUAAUUUACUAAAUUAUUAUAUCGUAGGAAUGCAACGGAUUUUUAUUGUAUAAAUAUCGAAUAAAAAGUGACUUACCAGGGACUACUUCUCCAUUGAAUGUCAUCUCCACAAGGUGUACAACAGCUUCAUGGGGUACAAAUGAUGCCAGGAAUCGUUGACUACCUAAUGCUCUGACAAAGCUAGUUACGUGACCACCAUUCACGAGGAUCUCUAGAUUUCCAGAUCCAGCAUUAGAUCCGUCAACUAUAAAUUUGAAAUAUACAGGACAAUACACAUAAAUUUGCAUUAAUAUCCUUUAUUUUGUAUAAUAUAUGUUUUUAAAUACAUACUUUCAAAUUCUACUGGCUGAUUAACAAUGCCAUUCGGAAUGUUCCCAAUCUGAAUACCACGUGCAUUGUAUGCUUGCGAUCUGAGAUAAUGAAAGAUUAAAUUUUUUAUGUGAUUA